Vicia faba (fava bean) is the source of this 267-nucleotide non-coding RNA. The record is from the annotation of a GenBank genome assembly. Lineage: Eukaryota; Viridiplantae; Streptophyta; Magnoliopsida; Fabales; Fabaceae.
AUGAGAACUGCUCUUGCAUUGUUGCCUCUCUUUCUUCUCUUGACUGUAGCAAUGGUUGAAUCAAGAAAAGAUCUAGGAGAAUACUGGAAGCUGGUAAUGAAAGACCAAGCCAUGCCUGAAGAAAUUCAAGGACUUGUCAACACCAACACUAAAAGCAAUUUCAACACUAAGCAGUCAUUUGGUGAUAAGAGAGCCCUUGAAAAUUUUGAACCAAGACCAAAUGCUUCUGCUUAUGGAAACAAUGACAUUGGUGCUGAAUUCACUUAG